AAUCUUGUAAUAGCAUAGCUCUAGCUUGCACAAUCUGAGGUGUUGACAGAAGAUCGGCAUCUUGCUUACUGAGUCUGGGAUGUAGAAGCACAAAAUAGAUUUUCCAGAAGCAGCUUUCAUUCAUGUGGCUUGGGCAAAGCUCAAUCCUUAGGGCCGCUAAUCUUGGUACCAGGUGUUCAACAUCCAACGCAUGCUCUUGUUGAGUG
RNAcentral lists this unclassified non-coding RNA (206 nucleotides) under Hevea brasiliensis (rubber tree). Lineage: Eukaryota; Viridiplantae; Streptophyta; Magnoliopsida; Malpighiales; Euphorbiaceae. The record is from RNAcentral.